RNAcentral lists this ribosomal RNA (274 nucleotides) under uncultured bacterium. RNAcentral's name for it is "partial 16S ribosomal RNA". It matches the Rfam family "Bacterial small subunit ribosomal RNA", at positions 523 to 796 of the family's 1533-position model. The record is from RNAcentral.
AUACGGAGGGUGCAAGCGUUGUUCGGAAUUAUUGGGCGUAAAGCGCGUGUAGGCGGUCUGUUAAGUCUGGUGUGAAGGCCCUGGGCUCAACCCAGGAAGUGCAUUGGAUACUGGCAGACUUGAGUAUGGGAGAGGAAAGCGGAAUUCCGAGUGUAGGAGUGAAAUCCGUAGAUAUUCGGAGGAACACCAGUGGCGAAGGCGGCUUUCUGGACCAAUACUGACGCUGAGACGCGAAAGCGUGGGGAGCAAACAGGAUUAGAAACCCUAGUAGUCC